Molecule: ribosomal RNA, 519 nt
Filed under: Triticum aestivum (bread wheat)
Lineage: Eukaryota; Viridiplantae; Streptophyta; Magnoliopsida; Poales; Poaceae
Description: partial small subunit ribosomal RNA
Source: RNAcentral
AUGGCCAGGAGUCUUCUCAAGAGUUUGGGUGUGCCUGCAAAGUUUUGGGGAGAAGCUGUGUGCACUGCAGUGUAUCUCCUCAACAGAUACCCUACAAAAAGUGUGAAGAACAUGACGCCAUAUGAAGCAUGGCAUGAGAAAAAACCAAAGGUGCAGCACUUGCGUACGUUUGGUUGCGUCGCUCAUGUAAAAUUAGUUGGACCUGGACAAAAUAAACUCCCUGACAGAAGCAAGAAAAUGGUGUUUAUUGGAUACGAACCUGGCUCAAAGGCAUACCAGAUGUAUGAUCCGGAAGGGAAGAAGUCGGUGGUGUCUAGAGAUGUUGCGUUUGAAGAGGGUAGGUGUUGGGACUGGGACCCACAGUCAAGUUCAGGUGAAGAAGAACGAAGCACUUUCACUGUCGUGUUUUCAGAUCAGGGCAGAGUCCAAGAGGAAGCAAGCUCAGCCGAAACGGCCACCGUGGCAGAGAAAAGUGCUGCUGGAGAAGGUGAUUUCAGAACUCCUACCGUGGCAGCAUAA